UGUAGAUUCUUAAUUUUUGGUCCCGUUUUCAAAUUGGUCUACAUUAAGGUCCAAAGGGUCCAAAAUUAAACUUAGUUUGAUUUUGACAAAAAUUGAAUCCUUGGGGUUCUUUGAUAUGCUGAAUCUAAAAAUGUACUUAGAUUUUUAUACGACCGCAAAAUUUGAAAAAUUUUUCGUCGUAUAUUGCUAUCACGUUGGCGUCAGCGUCGUCGUCGUCGUCGUCGUCGUCGUCGUCGUCGUCGUCCGGCGUCCGAAUACUUUUAGUUUUCGCACUCUAACUUUAGUAAAAGUGAAUGGAAAUCUAUGAAAUUUUUAACACAAGGUUUAUGACCACAAAAGGAAGGUUGGUAUUGAUUUUGGGAGUUUUGGUCCCAACAUUUUAGGAAUUAGGGGCCAAAAAGGGCCCAAAUAAGCAUUUUCUUGGUUUUCGCACUAUAACUUUAGUUUAAGUUAAUAGAAAUCUAUGAAAUUUUGACACAAGGUUUAUGACCACAAAAGAAAGGUUGGGAUUGAUUUUGGGAGUUUUGGUUCCAACAGUUUAGGAAUUAGGGGCCAAAAAAGGGCCCAAAUAAGCAUUAUUCUUA
RNAcentral lists this long non-coding RNA (584 nucleotides) under Mytilus galloprovincialis (Mediterranean mussel). The record is from RNAcentral. Lineage: Eukaryota; Metazoa; Mollusca; Bivalvia; Mytilida; Mytilidae.